CCUACGGGAGGCUGCAGUGAGGAAUAUUGGUCAAUGGACGAGAGUCUGAACCAGCCAAGUAGCGUGAAGGAUGACUGCCCUAUGGGUUGUAAACUUCUUUUAUAAAGGAAUAAAACGAGGCACGUGUGCCUUUUUGCAUGUACUUUAUGAAUAAGGAUCGGCUAACUCCGUGCCAGCAGCCGCGGUAAUACGGAGGAUCCGAGCGUUAUCCGGAUUUAUUGGGUUUAAAGGGAGCGUAGAUGGGUUGUUAAGUCAGUUGUGAAAGUUUGCGGCUCAACCGUAAAAUUGCAAUUGAUACUGGCAGUCGUGAGUACAGUUGAGGUAGGCGGAAUUCGUGGUGUAGCGGUGAAAUGCUUAGAUAUCACGAAGAGCCCCGAUUGCGAAGGCAGCUUACUAAACUGUGACUGACAUUGAUGCUCGAAAGUGUGGGUAUCAAACAGGAUUAGAUACCCCAGUAGUC
RNAcentral lists this ribosomal RNA (460 nucleotides) under uncultured bacterium. RNAcentral's name for it is "partial 16S ribosomal RNA". It matches the Rfam family "Bacterial small subunit ribosomal RNA", at positions 338 to 795 of the family's 1533-position model. The record is from RNAcentral.